UACGAAGGGGGCUAGCGUUGCUCGGAAUUACUGGGCGUAAAGCGCACGUAGGCGGUCUUUUAAGUCGGUGGUGAAAUCCUGGAGCUCAACUCCAGAACUGCCUUCGAUACUGGAAGACUUGAGUCCGGGAGAGGUGAGUGGAACUGCGAGUGUAGAGGUGGAAUUCGUAGAUAUUCGCAAGAACACCAGUGGCGAAGGCGGCUCACUGGCUCAUUACUGACGCUCAGGCGCGACAGCGUGGGGAUCAAACAGG
This 253-nucleotide ribosomal RNA is filed under the name uncultured bacterium. Its description in RNAcentral is "partial 16S ribosomal RNA". It matches the Rfam family "Bacterial small subunit ribosomal RNA", at positions 524 to 776 of the family's 1533-position model. The record is from RNAcentral.